Long non-coding RNA from Passer domesticus (house sparrow), 2354 nucleotides. RefSeq lists it as uncharacterized. The record is from RefSeq and is a predicted model, not a curated record. The transcript has 4 exons. Lineage: Eukaryota; Metazoa; Chordata; Aves; Passeriformes; Passeridae.
GGCAGAGGAGAGAGGCGUCAGGCUCUCUGCACGGCAGCAGCUGGGGCCAGAUCAGCUUUAGCUUGUCCCCAAACCCGUGUGGGGUGAGAUGCCAGAACCAAUUAACCUCGUGGCCAAAUCCAGGGAAAUUAGAUUUCCUUAAUUCUGAUUCUCACUAAGUUGUUUGAUUAUCAUGACGGACAACUCUUGGCAAUUGUUUUUUUUCCUGCCAACGGUAUCUUGUUGCCCGUGGUACCAGGCGCUGCUCUGGUUUGGCACAGCGGUGACCCAGUGAACACUGUCACUCUUACUUGAGCAGUGCACAGCACGGCUCAGUGCUUGACAGUGUUAAAACUGAAAUUUUGUGCCAUCUAUACCUUAGUGCCUGAGCCGGCUAUGAUCUGGGUCACGUCCAAAGCUCCAGUCUAAGAGUCAGGCUUGUCUGGGUUAUCUUCACAUGGCAGUGGAAUUCCAAGGCAUAACUGAAAGGCUAAUUUUAACUUCAGUAUUCAUGUGCAUGAAUACUUGUUCCUGUGUAGUGAAUGAGAGAAGAGCAGCUGAUGAUGGAGAAAAGAAGGACCACUAGAAGGUUGUGAAAGUCUCCAGCUAGCUCACAGCAUGCCCAGGCACAGCUGUCCCAGAAGUCUCUUUUUGCAUUGCUUAAAUGAAAUAGCUGUACAGAAAUGGAGAAAAUAAUGGGAAAACAGGGACUUAAACUGCUGUAUGGCACCUCAUGGAAAAUGGGAUUUGAAUGAGUCAACCCAUUCUCCUACUGUGGUCCCGGCAACAAGCUGGAAAAAGGCAAGCAGAGGGUGUACAAAUGAUGUACAAGUGACUGGAAUGAUGUACAAAUUACCAGAAUUACGAGGUAGGGGGGAGGCAUCUGAGAUAUAGAAGGGAGCUGAGGGUAUUGGAAGGAAGUACAGGAAGCAAAGAGAAAGGCUGGAAGAAUAUUUUGAUGGCAUCGUGGUGGGAAGUUGUAAUGAACACAGAAUACAAAUUUAUUAAAAAACAACCUACAUUGGUUUUAACACUCAUGAAACACAGUAGUGGUUUCAUAGUUCAGCACUGUCUUAUUUUUGGUGAGAAAAACUAAGUAUGCCUUUAUCAAUAUGUUGUUAUUGACCAUGGGGGGAUUCAAGCUACUUGAAAGUAAUUGUAAUUACUUGUAAUUUUUGUAGUUUUAAAAAAGUUAUGAAAAAUCCUGAACCGAAAUUCUUUUAACUUGGGUACAGCACUGUGAGCUGGUUACCUUGAGCUACCUGGAGCUGAUCUAGAUGCCUGGAGCUAAACACUUCUGAAAAUUUGUCUGCAGUGUGUUGUAGGACGCUUUUUUGUCAUUAUCAGCUCAAUGAGAAAUACUGUGUGCAGCUAGAGGAUACAGAUGCUGUUCACACACUACAUAAAUGCAUUUUGUAAAAAUAUACCCUUAGGAAGGCUUUUUUAAGGGAUUCUUCUGAAUGUAUCUAAGGAAGUAUGUGAUUGAACAGCUCUGUAGAGGGAUGCUUCAAAAUGUGUUGAGGAGCUUUGGUGGUUUAUUAGACUGUAUGGUUGUCAGAGAGAAAGCAUUGGAAAUACAAUGUAUUUGUGCAUGAUUAUUCACAUUGUAAUUGCCACUCUAUCCUCAACUGUAUUUUGGUAAUGGGAAAAGUAACAGCAGGAAAAUGAGUGGAAUUAUUAUUUGUAGACCUGCAGUGACUAACAGUGGCCUGAAAACUUAAUGGACCUAUGAAAGAACACUCUGUCUGCAGAGUGUUGUCCACAGGAAAGUCUCUGUACAGCAACUGCCCACCCAGGGCUGCUGUGUGGUGUUACAGUGCAGCAGGGAGCACAGUGUUUCUCUGGGGGCUGUUCACCUAGCUCAGCUAUCGUGAUUUUCAAACGGGACUUUCAAUACUGCACUGGAAAGAGAUUUUCACACUUUCUCAGUUUGUAAAAGGCAGUUUCAGACCCUAUUGUAAGGUGUGUAGAGCCAAAUAGCUGUUGAUUAAUGCCUUAUCUUCUGUGCCUGGAGAAUUUUAUGGAAUACAGUGAAUAAAAGGCUAAUUUGUCUCCUAAAGCAUAUAUUGAUAUAUAUGUGAUUUUCUGCACUACCUAACUUGGGUUAAUGGAGUGUUGCUUCAAUGUAUUGUGUUUCUGGCAUGUUCUGACUGUAUCCAUAAUGUCUUUGUAUGGCCUGAACUUCCUGUUCAUUACAAAUUGGUGAACUGCAGUAAGCAGUUCAACAAACAAGCAUUUCUUAAGCUGCCAAACUCAAAACCUGAAUGACCUAAAGAGAAGUGCAAUCAGACCUGCCAACCAUAAACAAUAAAUACUUCUAAAAUACAGAAUGGCUUACAAAUAAAAUAAAACUGAAAAGUUAGGUUGACCUGCAG